RNAcentral lists this ribosomal RNA (932 nucleotides) under Arthrobacter sp. Its description in RNAcentral is "bacterial SSU rRNA". It matches the Rfam family "Bacterial small subunit ribosomal RNA", at positions 56 to 999 of the family's 1533-position model. Lineage: Bacteria; Bacillati; Actinomycetota; Actinomycetes; Micrococcales; Micrococcaceae. RNAcentral also lists the same sequence under 1 other name. The record is from RNAcentral.
UGCAAGUCGAACGAUGAUCCCAGCUUGCUGGGGGAUUAGUGGCGAACGGGUGAGUAACACGUGAGUAACCUGCCCUUGACUCUGGGAUAAGCCUGGGAAACUGGGUCUAAUACCGGAUACGACCAUCUGGCGCAUGUCAUGGUGGUGGAAAGCUUUUGUGGUUUUGGAUGGACUCGCGGCCUAUCAGCUUGUUGGUGGGGUAAUGGCCUACCAAGGCGACGACGGGUAGCCGGCCUGAGAGGGUGACCGGCCACACUGGGACUGAGACACGGCCCAGACUCCUACGGGAGGCAGCAGUGGGGAAUAUUGCACAAUGGGCGGAAGCCUGAUGCAGCGACGCCGCGUGAGGGAUGACGGCCUUCGGGUUGUAAACCUCUUUCAGUAGGGAAGAAGCGAAAGUGACGGUACCUGCAGAAGAAGCGCCGGCUAACUACGUGCCAGCAGCCGCGGUAAUACGUAGGGCGCAAGCGUUAUCCGGAAUUAUUGGGCGUAAAGAGCUCGUAGGCGGUUUGUCGCGUCUGCUGUGAAAGACCGGGGCUCAACUCCGGUUCUGCAGUGGGUACGGGCAGACUAGAGUGCAGUAGGGGAGACUGGAAUUCCUGGUGUAGCGGUGAAAUGCGCAGAUAUCAGGAGGAACACCGAUGGCGAAGGCAGGUCUCUGGGCUGUAACUGACGCUGAGGAGCGAAAGCAUGGGGAGCGAACAGGAUUAGAUACCCUGGUAGUCCAUGCCGUAAACGUUGGGCACUAGGUGUGGGGGACAUUCCACGUUUUCCGCGCCGUAGCUAACGCAUUAAGUGCCCCGCCUGGGGAGUACGGCCGCAAGGCUAAAACUCAAAGGAAUUGACGGGGGCCCGCACAAGCGGCGGAGCAUGCGGAUUAAUUCGAUGCAACGCGAAGAACCUUACCAAGGCUUGACAUGAACCGGAAAGAC